This 389-nucleotide ribosomal RNA is filed under the name uncultured Gammaproteobacteria bacterium. RNAcentral describes it as "bacterial SSU rRNA". It matches the Rfam family "Bacterial small subunit ribosomal RNA", at positions 370 to 779 of the family's 1533-position model. The record is from RNAcentral. Lineage: Bacteria; Pseudomonadati; Pseudomonadota; Gammaproteobacteria.
AAUGGGCGCAAGCCUGAUGCAGCCAUGCCGCGUGUGUGAUGAAGGCCUUAGGGUUGUAAAACACUUUCAUCGGUGAAGAUAAUGACGGUAGCCGAAGAAGCCCCGGCUAACUCCGUGCCAGCAGCCGCGGUAAUACGGAGGGGGCAAGCGUUGUUCGGAAUUACUGGGCGUAAAGCGCACGUAGGCGGACUGGUCAGUUGGGGGUGAAAUCCCGAGGCUUAACCUCGGAACUGCCUUCAAUACUGCCAGUCUUGAGAUCGGAAGAGGUGAGUGGAAUUCCUAGUGUAGAGGUGAAAUUCGUAGAUAUUAGGAAGAACACCAGUGGCGAAGACGGCUCACUGGUCCGAUACUGACGCUGAGGUGCGAAAGCGUGGGGAGCGAACAGGAUU